UAAUACGGAGGGAGCUAGCGUUGUUCGGAAUUACUGGGCGUAAAGCGCACGUAGGCGGCUUUGUAAGUUAGAGGUGAAAGCCCGGGGCUCAACUCCGGAACUGCCUUUAAGACUGCAUCGCUUGAAUCCAGGAGAGGUGAGUGGAAUUCCGAGUGUAGAGGUGAAAUUCGUAGAUAUUCGGAAGAACACCAGUGGCGAAGGCGGCUCACUGGACUGGUAUUGACGCUGAGGUGCGAAAGCGUGGGGAGCAAACAGGA
This 257-nucleotide ribosomal RNA is filed under the name uncultured prokaryote. RNAcentral describes it as "partial 16S ribosomal RNA". It matches the Rfam family "Bacterial small subunit ribosomal RNA", at positions 521 to 777 of the family's 1533-position model. The record is from RNAcentral.